RNAcentral lists this ribosomal RNA (316 nucleotides) under uncultured soil bacterium. RNAcentral describes it as "bacterial SSU rRNA". It matches the Rfam family "Bacterial small subunit ribosomal RNA", at positions 26 to 337 of the family's 1533-position model. The record is from RNAcentral.
AGAGUGAACGCUGGCGGUAGGCCUAACACAUGCAAGUCGAACGGCAGCACAGUGGUAGCAAUACCAUGGGUGGCGAGUGGCGGACGGGUGAGGAAUACAUCGGAAUCUACCUUUUCGUGGGGGAUAACGUAGGGAAACUUACGCUAAUACCGCAUACGCCCUUCGGGGGAAAGCCGGGGAUCGCAAGACCUGGCGCGGAUAGAUGAGCCGAUGUCGGAUUAGCUAGUUGGUGAGGUAAUGGCUCACCAAGGCGACGAUCCGUAGCUGGUCUGAGAGGAUGAUCAGCCACACUGGAACUGAGACACGGGUCCAGACU